Eurytemora carolleeae is the source of this 232-nucleotide long non-coding RNA. RefSeq lists it as uncharacterized. NCBI's taxonomy places the organism in Eukaryota, Metazoa, Arthropoda, Copepoda, Calanoida, Temoridae. The record is from RefSeq and is a predicted model, not a curated record. The transcript has 2 exons.
UUAGGCAAACGGAGGAGAUAAAAAUUACUUUUCUUGAUUUCCUGGUCAGUCUUGGAGGAUUUCUUGGUUUGUUUGUUGGGAAAUCCUUGUUAGAUCUGGAGAGGAUUGCAGGAAUAUUCUUCAGCCUAUCAAGGAAACUAUUCAAAAUUUAAAUUAUGAAAAAUUUAUGAAUAUUAUUCGUCCAAGAUUAUAUAUUUGACUUUUCUACGUGUAAUAAAUGUUAAUUGUGAAA